UACGGAGGGUGCAAGCGUUGUCCGGAAUCAUUGGGUGUAAAGGGUGUGUAGGUGGACCUGUAAGUCAGGGGUGAAAGCCCGCAGCUUAACUGCGGAACUGCCUUUGAUACUGCAGGUCUUGAGUCCUGGAGGGGCUACUAGAAUUCGUGGUGUAGCGGUGAAAUGCGUAGAUAUCACGAGGAAUACCAGAGGCGUAGGCGGGUAGCUGGACAGGCACUGACACUGAGGCACGAAAGCGUGGGGAGCAAACAGG
RNAcentral lists this unclassified non-coding RNA (253 nucleotides) under uncultured Bacteroidota bacterium. Its description in RNAcentral is "uncultured Bacteroidetes bacterium contains 16S-23S intergenic spacer region". It matches the Rfam family "Bacterial small subunit ribosomal RNA", at positions 524 to 776 of the family's 1533-position model. The record is from RNAcentral. Lineage: Bacteria; Pseudomonadati; Bacteroidota.